ACCCUACCACCCACACUCAAUAUACCGAUACCCCACCACCCACGCUCAAUAUACAGACACCAUGCCACCCACGCUCAAUAUACAGAUACCCUACCACCCACACUCAAUAUACAGAUACCUUACUAAUGAAUGCAUCAAAUGGAGUUUAGUUGAUACACUCCCUUAGGAGGGGUCACAGCAGGUCAGAAUGUUAUCUACACGGGGAUAAGCAUGGCAAGAUCUUCCACUGGAACUGACUAUGUGUCUGUACCCAUUCUACCAUUCUGUCCCAUUCCCGCCCUUCUGUCCCAUUCCCUCCAUUCUGUCCCAUUCCCGCCCUUCUGUCCCAUUCCUUCCAUUCUGUCCCAUUCCCGCCCUUCUGUCCCAUUCCCUCCAUUCUGUCCCAUUCCCUCCAUUCUGUCACAUUCCUUCAAUUCUGUCCCAUUCCCUCCAUUCUUUCUCAUUACGCCCAAUCUGUCACAUUCCCACCAUUCUGUCCCAUUCCCGCCCUUCUGUCCCAUUCCCACCAUUCUGUCCCAUUCCCGCCCUUCUGUCCCAAUCCCUCCAUUCUGUCCCAUUCCCACCAUUCUGUCACAUUCCUUCCAUUCUGUCCCAUUCCCUCCAUUCUUUCUCAUUAACCCAUUCUGUCACAUUCCCACCAUUCUGUCCCAUUCCCGCCCUCCUGUCCCAUUCCCACCAUUCUGUCCCAUUCCCGCCCUUCUGUCCCAUUCCCUACAUUCUGUCCCAUUCCCGCCCUUCUGUCCCAUUCCCACCAUUCUGUCCCAUUCCCGCCCUUCUGUCACAUUCCCUCCAUUCUGUCCCAUUCCUUCCAUUCUGUCCCAUUCCCGCCCUUCUGUCCCAUUCCCUCCAUUCUGUCCCAUUCCUUCCAUUCUGUCCCAUUCCCUCCAUUCUUUCUCAUUACGCCCAAUCUGUCACAUUCCCACCAUUCUGUCCCAUUCCCACCCUUCUGUCCCAUUCCCACCAUUCUGUCCCAUUCCCGCCCUUCUGUCCCAAUCCCUCCAUUCUAUCCCAUUCCCACCAUUCUGUCACAUUCCUUCCAUUCUGUCCCAUUCCCUCCAUUCUUUCUCAUUACUCCCAUUCUGUCACAUUCCCACCAUUCUGACCCAUUCCCGCCCUUCUGUCCCAUUCCCACCAUUCUGUCCCAUUCCCGCCCUUCUGUCCCAUUCCCUACAUUCUGUCCCAUUCCCUACAUUCUGUCCCAUUCCCGCCCUUCUGUCCCAUUCCCCCCAUUCUGUCCCAUUCCCACCAUUCUGUCCCAUUCCUACCAUUCUGUCCCAUUCCCUCCAUUCUUUCUCAUUCCCCCCAUUCUGUCACAUUCCCACCAUUCUGUCCCAUUCCCGCCCUUCUGUCACAUUCCCACCAUUCUGUCCCAUUCCCACCUUCUGUCCCAUUCCCACCAUUCUGUCCCAUUCCCUCCAUUCUGUCCCAUUCCCUCCAUUCUGUCCCAUUCCCUCCAUUCUGUCUCAUUCCCUCUAUUCUGUCCCCCACGGUAUCCAAUUAAAAUAACAUGUUUUGUUUGGAUACUAUCGUAUCAAUGGACCAAUGGCAGCUCAAUGAAUGUAGAACAGCUCUUGGAUAAUGAAGCAGAAAGGGUACUUCAGAUACUGAGGGAAUAACGUAGGGUCCAACGGCCCAGAUCUGGGACUCAACAUGAGGGAAGUGUAUUCAUAUCAUUAGAGAAGAGGUCUGUUUUAAUACACGCUGUGUGUGUUUGAUUAGAAUCACAGUUCAGGGAGCAAUAUUAGCAGUAUUAAUAGCAGUUUUUCUACAAAGUUUUCAGAUACAGAGUACCCCUGAGAGUUCUGCUGGGGUCGCUUACAAGGCAAUGUGAGAGAGAGAGAGAGAGAGAGAGAGAGAGAGAGAGAGAGAGAGAGAGAGAGAAUUAGACCCAACCAAAUCAUGAGAAAACAAAAAGAUAACUACUUAACA
RNAcentral lists this long non-coding RNA (1929 nucleotides) under Oncorhynchus kisutch (coho salmon). RNAcentral's name for it is "lncRNA (ENSOKIG00005030030.1)". Lineage: Eukaryota; Metazoa; Chordata; Actinopteri; Salmoniformes; Salmonidae. The record is from RNAcentral.